GACGAACGCUGUCGGCGUGCUUAACACAUGCAAGUCGAACGGAAAGGCCCUGCUUUUGUGGGGUGCUCGAGUGGCGAACGGGUGAGUAACACGUGAGUAACCUGCCCUUGACUUUGGGAUAACUUCAGGAAACUGGGGCUAAUACCGGAUAGGAGCUCCUGCUGCAUGGUGGGGGUUGGAAAGUUUCGGCGGUUGGGGAUGGACUCGCGGCUUAUCAGCUUGUUGGUGGGGUAGUGGCUUACCAAGGCUUUGACGGGUAGCCGGCCUGAGAGGGUGACCGGCCACAUUGGGACUGAGAUACGGCCCAGACUCCUACGGGAGGCAGCAGUGGGGAAUAUUGCACAAUGGGCGGAAGCCUGAUGCAGCAACGCCGCGUGCGGGAUGACGGCCUUCGGGUUGUAAACCGCUUUCGCCUGUGACGAAGCGUGAGUGACGGUAAUGGGUAAAGAAGCACCGGCUAACUACGUGCCAGCAGCCGCGGUGAUACGUAGGGUGCGAGCGUUGUCCGGAUUUAUUGGGCGUAAAGGGCUCGUAGGUGGUUGAUCGCGUCGGAAGUGUAAUCUUGGGGCUUAACCCUGAGCGUGCUUUCGAUACGGGUUGACUUGAGGAAGGUAGGGGAGAAUGGAAUUCCUGGUGGAGCGGUGGAAUGCGCAGAUAUCAGGAGGAACACCAGUGGCGAAGGCGGUUCUCUGGGCCUUUCCUGACGCUGAGGAGCGAAAGCGUGGGGAGCGAACAGGCUUAGAUACCCUGGUAGUCCACGCUGUAAACGGUGGGUACUAGGUGUGGGGUCCAUUCCACGGGUUCCGUGCCGUAGCUAACGCUUUAAGUACCCCGCCUGGGGAGUACGGCCGCAAGGCUAAAACUCAAAGGAAUUGACGGGGUCCCGCACAAGCGGCGGAGCAUGCGGAUUAAUUCGAUGCAACGCGUAGAACCUUACCUGGGUUUGACAUGGAUCGGGAGUGCUCAGAGAUGGGUGUGCCUCUUUUGGGGUCGGUUCACAGGUGGUGCAUGGCUGUCGUCAGCUCGUGUCGUGAGAUGUUGGGUUAAGUCCCGCAACGAGCGCAACCCUUGUUCACUGUUGCCAGCACGUUAUGGUGGGGACUCAGUGGAGACCGCCGGGGUCAACUCGGAGGAAGGUGGGGAUGACGUCAAGUCAUCAUGCCCCUUAUGUCCAGGGCUUCACGCAUGCUACAAUGGCUGGUACAGAGAGUGGCGAGCCUGUGAGGGUGAGCGAAUCUCGGAAAGCCGGUCUCAGUUCGGAUUGGGGUCUGCAACUCGACCUCAUGAAGUCGGAGUCGCUAGUAAUCGCAGAUCAGCAACGCUGCGGUGAAUACGUUCCCGGGGCU
Molecule: ribosomal RNA, 1346 nt
Filed under: uncultured bacterium
Lineage: Bacteria
Description: partial 16S ribosomal RNA
Rfam family: Bacterial small subunit ribosomal RNA
Source: RNAcentral